ACAAUCGAACCCUUACACGUUGGUUUUAUCCUCGGCUCACCAACCAACCUCUACACUCUUGAUUCAAUCCCCUGAUUGAAUCAAGCAAAGACAAGAUGGAAAGAACAAGGACAAACAGAAAAACAGAGCUUCUAAAAAGCAGAUAUACAGCAAUAUAAACUAGAGAGAAGUUAAGAGCCCUCAGACACUUUUGAGUUGGAGUAGAGAAGGGCUUCUUGAACUGUGAGUCUCCUCUUGAAUGUCUGGUCGACUUGAAGGCAGGAGGAGACUUCUUUAAAUGCUGGGAAGAGGUA
RNAcentral lists this long non-coding RNA (293 nucleotides) under Phoenix dactylifera (date palm). RNAcentral's name for it is "long non-coding RNA (PDAC_LNC005379)". Lineage: Eukaryota; Viridiplantae; Streptophyta; Magnoliopsida; Arecales; Arecaceae. The record is from RNAcentral.